This 766-nucleotide long non-coding RNA is filed under the name Coturnix japonica (Japanese quail). RNAcentral's name for it is "lncRNA (ENSCJPG00005009808.1)". The record is from RNAcentral. Lineage: Eukaryota; Metazoa; Chordata; Aves; Galliformes; Phasianidae.
GACAAGACCCAGCUGAGAUCUAUGAGGCAUUUAAAGUGGGCCAUGCUUUAUUGGUAAGGCAGGUCAAUCAACAUGUAAUUAAUUUUAAUUAGCACUUCGUUAAACUCUUCACAUGCAGCCAGCUGUUAGCUCCACCAGCAGCAGAAAACACCAUGGCAGCUGCUGUAUGUUGACUCCAGUGAAGCAGCUCUUCAGGAGGCCAUGAGUAAGCUGGGAAAUGCAGGAUCUCUGCAGGAUUGCAGGAGAUAUUUCAUGGCUUGCUGAAAGUUUGCUGAGAUGCAUUAAUCAGAUAAAUGAAGUUGAAAGUCUAUUGCUAAGGUAUGAAAGAGAAGAGAAACCCUUAAACAAACCAAGCUGAAAUGAAAAAGCCAGGGUUCAGGGCCCAGAUGAGCUUGGAAAGAAGAAUGAAGUUAAAAGGCGUAUUGAGUGAGAUCUAUUUCACCACCUUUUUUAUUCACUUACCAGCACCUACACAAUGACUAGUUAAAAUCCUCACGGGGAUAACUGCUGCAUAGAUUAUUAUUUUUUUUCUGGCAGCUAAAGUGAAAUUUUAUUGAUUUGACAGCAUCUCAUAUAAAUCACACACGGAUCUAGAAUACAAGAUUUCACUGACAAAAACUGCAGUUUGAGGGGAACUUGGACAACUACAUCAAUAGUGACUGAUACAGCUGAAUAUCCAGAAGGAAACUAUAAGGCAGUAAAAAGCUUCUCUGGGAAUUCAGAGGAUCGGUAUAUGAGGAAAUAAAGGAUAAAUGUAAAUUUUACA